RNAcentral lists this long non-coding RNA (636 nucleotides) under Nicotiana tabacum (common tobacco). Its description in RNAcentral is "long non-coding RNA (NTAB_LNC016122)". The record is from RNAcentral. Lineage: Eukaryota; Viridiplantae; Streptophyta; Magnoliopsida; Solanales; Solanaceae.
UAAGGCCAAGGGCCUGCGCCAAAAGAGAAGAGUAUGACCUUGAUCGAACGAUGACGGUUUACUAUUUCGAUAAGUUCAAAAUAUUACCCUUUAAGGCCAAGGGCCUUCGCCAACAAGAGAAGAGUUCGACCUCGAUCGAACAACGACGUGUUACUAUUUCGAUAAAUUCGAAAUAACGCCCUUUAAAGAAAAGGGCCUUCACCAAAAAGAGAAGAGUUCGACCUCGAUCGAACGACGAUGAGUUACUAUUUCGAUAAGUUCGAAAUAACACUCUUUAAGGCCAAGGGCCUUCGCCAAGAAGAGAAGGGUUCGACCUCGAUCAAACGAUGAUGGGUUAAUAUUUUAACAAGUUCAAAAUAACACCCUUUAAGGCGAAGGGCCUUCGCCAAAAAGAGAAGAGUUCGACCUCGAUCGAACGACAACGGGUUACUAUUUUGAUAAGUUCGAACUAAUACACUUUAAGGCCAAGGGCCUUCGCCAAAAAAUAGGAGUUCAACCUCGAUUGAACGACGAUCGAUUACUAUUUUGAUAAGUUCGAAAUAACACCCUUUAAGGACAAGGGCCUUCGCCAAAAAGAGAAGAUUUCGAACUCGAUCGAAAGACGACGGGUUACUAUUUCGAUAAGUUUGAAAUAAC